GAUGAACGCUAGCGGCAGGCCUAAUACAUGCAAGUCGGACGGGAUUUGGGAGCUUGCUCCCAAUGAGAGUGGCGCACGGGUGCGUAACACGUAUGUAACCUACCUUAGUCAGGGGAGUAGCCUCUCGAAGAGAGAUUAAGACCGCAUAAAUACACAGUAUAGCAUUAUACAAUGAUCAAUAUUUAUAGGACUAAGAUGGGCAUGCGGAACAUUAGCUAGUUGGUGAGGUAACGGCCCACCAAGG
This 244-nucleotide ribosomal RNA is filed under the name uncultured bacterium. Its description in RNAcentral is "partial 16S ribosomal RNA". It matches the Rfam family "Bacterial small subunit ribosomal RNA", at positions 28 to 273 of the family's 1533-position model. The record is from RNAcentral.